AACAGGAUUAGAUACCCUGGUAGUCCACGCCCUAAACGAUGUCUACUAGUUGUUGGUGGAGUAAAAUCCAUUAGUAACGCAGCUAACGCGUGAAGUAGACCGCCUGGGGAGUACGGUCGCAAGAUUAAAACUCAAAGGAAUUGACGGGAGCCCGCACAAGCGGUGGAUUAUGUGGAUUAAUUCGAUGCAACGCGAAAAACCUUACCUGGCCUUGACAUGUACGGAACUUUCCAGAGAUGGAUUGGUGCUCGAAAGAGAGCCGUAACACAGGUGCUGCAUGGCUGUCGUCAGCUCGUGUCGUGAGAUGUUGGGUUAAGUCCCGCAACGAGCGCAACCCUUGCCAUUAAUUGCCAUCAUUUAGUUGGGCACUUUAAUGGGACUGCCGGUGACAAACCGGAGGAAGGUGGGGAUGACGUCAAGUCCUCAUGGCCCUUAUGGCCAGGGCUUCACACGUAAUACAAUGGUCGGUACAGAGGGUUGCCAAGCCGCGAGGUGGAGCCAAUCCCAGAAAGCCGAUCGUAGUCCGGAUUGUAGUCUGCAACUCGACUACAUGAAGUCGGAAUCGCUAGUAAUCGCGGAUCAGCAUGUCGCGGUGAAUACGUUCCCGGGCCUUGUACACACCGCCCGUCACACCAUGGGAGUGGGUUCCACCAGAAGUAGGUAGUCUAACCGCAAGGGGGACGCUUACCACGGUGGGGUUCAUGACUGGGGUGAAGUCGUAACAAGGUAACC
Molecule: ribosomal RNA, 732 nt
Filed under: uncultured bacterium
Lineage: Bacteria
Description: bacterial SSU rRNA
Rfam family: Bacterial small subunit ribosomal RNA
Source: RNAcentral